RNAcentral lists this ribosomal RNA (274 nucleotides) under uncultured bacterium. RNAcentral describes it as "partial 16S ribosomal RNA". It matches the Rfam family "Bacterial small subunit ribosomal RNA", at positions 523 to 796 of the family's 1533-position model. The record is from RNAcentral.
AUACGGAGGGUGCGAGCGUUAAUCGGAAUUACUGGGCGUAAAGCGCGCGUAGGCGGAUGAUUAAGUCAGUUGUGAAAGCCCUGGGCUCAACCUAGGAACUGCAUCUGAUACUGGUCGUCUAGAGUUUAAGAGAGGGAAGUGGAAUUCCAGGUGUAGCAGUGAAAUGCGUAGAUAUCUGGAGGAACAUCAGUGGCGAAGGCGACUUCCUGGCUUAAAACUGACGCUGAGGUGCGAAAGCGUGGGUAGCGAACGGGAUUAGAAACCCUAGUAGUCC